GAUCGUGUUCCGAGGCUACCUCCUCCUCCCAAGCCGAAGAACACGUUUGAGGCAAGAACUCCUCCUCCCAAUCUUGCCUCUGAAUAACGUCACCCGCCGGUACCUCCUCCCACCGGCGGGUGACGUUU
Molecule: small RNA, 128 nt
Filed under: Roseibium sp. TrichSKD4
Lineage: Bacteria; Pseudomonadati; Pseudomonadota; Alphaproteobacteria; Hyphomicrobiales; Stappiaceae
Description: Alphaproteobacterial ar14
Rfam family: Alphaproteobacterial ar14
About the family: Smr14C2 was renamed NfeR1 (Nodule Formation Efficiency RNA) highly expressed in salt stress and during the symbiotic interaction on legume roots.
Source: Rfam by way of RNAcentral